RNAcentral lists this long non-coding RNA (1331 nucleotides) under Sinocyclocheilus grahami. Its description in RNAcentral is "lncRNA (ENSSGRG00000053632.1)". The record is from RNAcentral. Lineage: Eukaryota; Metazoa; Chordata; Actinopteri; Cypriniformes; Cyprinidae.
UCCUGUCACAGUCUUGUUGUCUCUGUUCGUGUGAGUCUCUGUGAGUGCUGUGAGGUUUCUGACAGACUUUGUGUGAAUCAGGGUCUCAGGAAGACGGAACAUUGGGAACGUCAGGAUGUCUGUCUCAAGAGGAGUUAUCAGAACAGGCUUCACAGGCCCAGGAUCUUGAGAGACUGGCUCAGCUCUGCAUCAUGAGCAAAAGACCCCACCUUGCUUUAGAAUACAGUGGCAAGGCCACUAAAAUCCACCAGAGGGCUUUUGGUAACGAUCACCCCAUCACAGCCCGGAGUCUGGAGCUGCUGGCCACUGUCUAUGCUGAGAUCGGCAAAACAGAAUAUACAAAUUCAUUGGGAGAGUGUGUGUCGACUCUUUCCAAAAGGUUCUCAGCCACCGAGUCAUUCAGCGAUGCUCUGAGUAGCAUCUCUCAUAGCCAUAAAAGCAGACACUCUGAGCUGCGACACAGAAAAGAGCCAUACAUACAACAGGAAACUCCUAAAACGAAGGUCAUAAAUGAAAAACUGCCCACCUCUAUUCUGAAAAGGUCCAAUGUGAGCAAUGUGGAGUCAGACUCAUUGCGCAGGCGAAAAAGCGAGAGGCGGGUUCGCUUCAGAGAGCCGGAGAUCACUGUUCAUGUCUACGACACCCCCCAGAGCCGUUUGCACCUGGCCCUGCUCACCUGCCUGUUCCUGCUUCUGUCUGCGCUGGGUCUAGCACUGUACUGCACGGACCGCCGAAGACCCCAGCGUGCCUGCGAAGAGCUGCAGACGGCACUGGCUGUGUACCUGCUUCAGUUCAAACAGAUCGUUUGGGCCUGCUGGAUCUGGCUGACCAUGCAAUGACCAUAACUGACCACAGGGGGCAGCAAUGGGCAGGGGAAAAAACAUAAAAGGUCAGGAUGUUUUUUGAAGGACUGCAGAAAAAAAAGAUAAAGGUCCCCUUGGUUUUUUUUUUAUUGCUUUACUUUCACUGUUAUAAUCAGUCUGGCCACCAGUCGAAGCCUAUGAGGAUGUUCAACAUCCACCUCUUUUACUUUGUGGUUGAUUGAAGGCCAUGUGCUUUUCCACACCAUCAAGGGAUGGUGUGCUUUUUUGCCCUUUAUGGUGGAAUAGCUAAUGCCACAUCCUCAUUAUAUGGAGCCGUGUGUAUUUAGAUCUCUGUAUGUAGCUCUUUUUCUUCCUAUAGCGGUUCUGGGUGAUAUGUCUUAAAGGAAUAGUUCACCAAAAAUGAAAAUUUUCUGAAAAUUGACUCAUCCUCAGGCCAUCCAAGAUGUAGAUGAGUUUGUUUCUUUAUCAGAACAGAUUUGGAGAAAUUUAGCAUUACAUCACUUGCUC